AGCUAUAUAAUUUAAUUAAAAUAUAUAAUUGCAGAUUAUAAUAUCUCAGUAAAUUCUGAGUAUAGCUU
RNAcentral lists this transfer RNA (68 nucleotides) under Babesia gibsoni. RNAcentral's name for it is "tRNA-Cys". The record is from RNAcentral. Lineage: Eukaryota; Apicomplexa; Aconoidasida; Piroplasmida; Babesiidae.